This 76-nucleotide transfer RNA is filed under the name Verrucomicrobiota bacterium. Its description in RNAcentral is "Verrucomicrobia bacterium (hydrothermal vent metagenome) tRNA-Glu". It matches the Rfam family "tRNA". From Rfam's summary of the family: Transfer RNA (tRNA) molecules are approximately 80 nucleotides in length. Lineage: Bacteria; Pseudomonadati; Verrucomicrobiota. RNAcentral also lists the same sequence under 1 other name. The record is from RNAcentral.
GACCCUAUCGUCUAGUGGUUUAGGACACCGCCCUUUCACGGCGGUAACCCGGGUUCGAAUCCCGGUAGGGUCGCCA